GCUAAUUCUCCCACGCGAUGCUGCGGGAUAAAGCUUUACAUAAUCAUAUCCUCACUAAAACUACAGACCUUAUAUUGCAACAAACAGGUUGGGAUCUCUUUACUAUCGAAUAAAAGAUCUGUGGAUUCAUUGAUUGUAACAUGCUCACUCAGGUUUGGAGGUUAGACUUGAAGUAACUUUCUUUCUACUUUUCUUAAAAACUGUAAGAAGAAAAAUAGAGGUCAGAGUAGAAGUCUAGAAUUAGAAGCACACUAUUCCGAAGCGGGUACUGUUCAUAAGCUAUUCAUACUGGUUUGGAAAUUAGAAACACUGUUCAUAACUACAGUAACCCAUAUUCUGUUUUUCUUCUCACUACCAUAAAUGAUAGUAAUACAAUGAAAAUGAACAUGUUCUCCUCAAAACAGACAUGGCAAAAGUUCACAUCCUGAAAUCUAAUCUGAAAAUCUCACAACAAUUUUGUCUGGAGGGAAGACUUGUAUGAUCAUUGACAUUUUAAGGGAAAAACCAAAGAACGAAAAAUGUGGGACAAACCUGUGAAGCAACACAGCUAAGAAACUGGGUAGAUAUAAGCUCAACCCUGACCCCCCAAAAAACCUUGCCUCUGCUUUUAUAUUUCCAGCAUAGAGACAUACAGUACUCAAACCACAAAGAGCAAAGUUAUGAAUAGAUAUAUACAGAAAA
This 681-nucleotide long non-coding RNA is filed under the name Rosa chinensis. RNAcentral describes it as "sRNA RchiOBHm_Chr2g0164341". Lineage: Eukaryota; Viridiplantae; Streptophyta; Magnoliopsida; Rosales; Rosaceae. The record is from RNAcentral.